UUAACAGAGAUGUGAUUGAUAGUGCUUAAAGAAGCCUGCAGGAGAAAGGCAGAAUCACUGCAGGGAGUCCAAGGUACAGCACAAAAGUAACAUCACACUGAAUUGGAAAAGAAGUAAUUUUAGAUGAGUAGGUAACUGAACUGCUUCUGAUAAGUUCCUAUGCUGCAGCUUUCCUAUGGAUAAAGACAAAACUUCCUGUUCAAGACCUAUAACCUGCUCAGUUUUGCAAAUGCUAAAUGCAGAACAAGUUGUGGAGGGGCAGGAACAAAGGUGACCCUUUGGAGUUUCAGUUGUUCUGACCUUCAGGGAUGGGUGUGACUGUGGAGCUCCUCACAUGGAUAUGUAAGAAAAUAAACUGAAAAUAAUCUCCCAACAUUUAAAAAACUUGAACAAAGAUCAGGAAUUUGAAGAGAGACUCUUUAUAUUAGCAAGGAAGAUCUAAGAAGCACAGUGACUUGAACUUAAUGUAAUAAUGGUUAGAGCCAGCUAUGAUGUGACAGAUAUUACUCAUAUUGAGUCAGGGGUACCUGUAAAUGUAAAUUACAUUGUGGAAGGCUUGAGGAGAUGCUGGCUUAGAGAGUCCAAGAUUUUCAAAGCAGCCCGGGGACUACUGAUACCUAUAAAGCAGCACAGCAGCUGCUGCAAAGCAGAAUUUCACAUCUAUUUAUUUGGGAAGGCCUCAUCCAAUGGUGCCCUAGAGAAUUGUCUUGGCAGAGAAGUACAGCUUCCAUCUGGAGACUUCUUGGUACAUAUAAACUACUUCGGGUGAUGUUAAACACAAGUCC
Molecule: non-coding RNA, 785 nt
Organism: Lonchura striata (white-rumped munia)
Lineage: Eukaryota; Metazoa; Chordata; Aves; Passeriformes; Estrildidae
Source: RefSeq, a predicted model, not a curated record